GACGAAGGGGGCUAGCGUUGUUCGGAAUUACUGGGCGUAAAGAGCGCGUAGGCGGUUUGGUAAGUUGGAAGUGAAAGCCCGGGGCUUAACCCCGGAAUUGCUUUCAAAACUGCCAGGCUAGAGUGUAGUAGGGGAUGAUGGAAUUCCUAGUGUAGAGGUGAAAUUCUUAGAUAUUAGGAGGAACACCGGUGGCGAAGGCGGUCAUCUGGGCUACAACUGACGCUGAGGCGCGAAAGCGUGGGGAGCAAACAGG
RNAcentral lists this ribosomal RNA (253 nucleotides) under uncultured prokaryote. RNAcentral's name for it is "partial 16S ribosomal RNA". It matches the Rfam family "Bacterial small subunit ribosomal RNA", at positions 524 to 776 of the family's 1533-position model. The record is from RNAcentral.